GUGGAGGGUGCGAUAGAUGAUAGCAACAUUCGUAACCGUCUGGCAGUGGGCCAUUUGGGGCCAGGAAGAGUUUGUUAUGAAGAGCAGUAGAGUGGAAUCGUGGCCGUCACCGUGAUCUGCCACGUGGAGUCUGUUGCAAGGAGCGAAGCGGCACCCGUUGUCGUGACUUGCCAGAGGGUGGAGGAGUCACGCGAUAUCCGUCGC
Molecule: long non-coding RNA, 204 nt
Filed under: Elaeis guineensis (African oil palm)
Lineage: Eukaryota; Viridiplantae; Streptophyta; Magnoliopsida; Arecales; Arecaceae
Description: long non-coding RNA (EGUI_LNC067321)
Source: RNAcentral